RNAcentral lists this ribosomal RNA (563 nucleotides) under Macrocystis pyrifera (giant kelp). RNAcentral's name for it is "eukaryotic LSU rRNA". It matches the Rfam family "Eukaryotic large subunit ribosomal RNA", at positions 46 to 647 of the family's 3401-position model. Lineage: Eukaryota; Phaeophyceae; Laminariales; Laminariaceae. The record is from RNAcentral.
CUAAGCGGAGGAAAAGAAACUAACCAGGAUUCCCCCAGUAACGGCGAGUGAAGCGGGAGGAGCUCACGUUGUAAAUCUGCCUUCGGGCCGAAUUGUAGUCUGUAGAGGCGAGGCCAGCCGCGGCCGGGGGCGAAGUCUCUUGGAAAAGAGCAUCAAGGAGGGUGACAAUCCCGUUCUUGCCCCCACGCCGUGCGCGUACGGUCCGUUUUCUAAGAGUCGAGUUGCUUGGGAUUGCAGCUCAAAGCGGGUGGUAAAUUCCAUCUAAAGCUAAACACGGGUGGGAGACCGAUAGCGAACAAGUACCGUGAGGGAAAGAUGCAAAGAACUUUGAAAAGAGAGUUAAAGAGUGCCUGAAAUUGCUGAAAGGGAAGCGAAGGAAACCAGUGUCUGGCGUCGAAGCUUUCCCACCGCCCCUCGGGGCUGCGGGUCGCGUCUUCGCCGUGGCCAGGGCCGGGUACGGUUGCGGGAGCCUGCGCCGCGGGAGGUAGCCUUCCCUCGGGAAGGUGAAUGCCGCGGCGUGUCGUCGCGACUGUGGCCGGCUCUGACGAAAUGGUUUUCUUUAC